UUGAACGCUGGCGGCAUGCUUUACACAUGCAAGUCGAACGGCAGCACGGGUGCUUGCACCUGGUGGCGAGUGGCGAACGGGUGAGUAAUGCAUCGGAACGUAUCCAAUAAUGGGGGAUAACGCAUCGAAAGGUGUGCUAAUACCGCAUACGCCCUGAGGGGGAAAGUGGGGGACCGUAAGGCCUCACGUUAAUGGAGCGGCCGAUGUCAGAUUAGCUAGUUGGUGAGGUAAAGGCUCACCAAGGCGACGAUCUGUAGCUGGUCUGAGAGGAUGAUCAGCCACACUGGGACUGAGACACGGCCCAGACUCCUACGGGAGGCAGCAGUGGGGAAUUUUGGACAAUGGGGGCAACCCUGAUCCAGCCAUGCCGCGUGAGUGAAGAAGGCCUUCGGGUUGUAAAGCUCUUUCGCAAGGGAAGAAAACUUAGAUCCUAAUACGGUCUGAGGAUGACGGUACCUUGAUAAGAAGCACCGGCUAACUACGUGCCAGCAGCCGCGGUAAUACGGAGGGUGCGAGCGUUAUCCGGAAUUACUGGGUUUAAAGGGUGCGUAGGCGGAUGAUUAAGUCUAAGGUGAAAGCAUGUCGCUUAACGAUAUAAUUGCCUUGGAUACUGGUUAUCUUGAAUAUGAUUGAGGAUAGCGGAAUGUGACAUGUAGCGGUGAAAUGCAAAGAUAUGUCAUAGAACACCAAUUGCGAAGGCAGCUAUCUGGGUCAUUAUUGACGCUGAGGCACGAAAGCGUGGGGAUCGAACAGGAUUAGAUACCCUGGUAGUCCACGCCCUAAACGA
Molecule: ribosomal RNA, 787 nt
Filed under: uncultured bacterium
Lineage: Bacteria
Description: bacterial SSU rRNA
Rfam family: Bacterial small subunit ribosomal RNA
Source: RNAcentral